Piliocolobus tephrosceles (Ugandan red Colobus) is the source of this 1556-nucleotide RNA transcript. It is a transcript of the gene named E3 ubiquitin-protein ligase RNF187-like, with no coding region annotated. NCBI's taxonomy places the organism in Eukaryota, Metazoa, Chordata, Mammalia, Primates, Cercopithecidae. The record is from RefSeq and is a predicted model, not a curated record. The transcript has 3 exons.
AGUGACGCACGGCCAAGGCCGGCGGCCGCCCUGCCCCCGCUUCCUUUCACGCUGUCGCUGCCAGUAGGUGGUUGUGGCCACUGUGCCCGGAGGGAGGCGGCGGUGGCCAGUAAUGCCUGGGAAACUCCUCUGGGGGGACAUUAUGGAGCUGGAAGCACCCUUGGAGGAAUCCGAGAGCCAGAAGAAGGAGAGGCAAAAGACCUUAACACGUGAACGGAAAGAAGGAGCCUUCUCCAAUUUUCCUAUUUCUGAAGAGACUAGAAAGCUUCUGAAAGAUUUAGAUGAGCGUCCCCGGCGUUGGCGUUGGCGUCAUCGUCCUGGUCUCCGUCCGCCAGGCGCUCCCGCACCCUUGCUGACCCUGCCGCCCGCAGCCCUGGCGCUCCCUGCGGGCCCUGCCGAGGCUGUGCCAGCGCGCGCCCUGAGAGUCGGUGGGCGCCGACUGCGGCCACCGCUUCUGUUGGGCGUGCGUGGUGUGCUUCUGGGCCGAGGAGGAUGGGCCCUUCACGUGCCCCGAGUGCGCCAACGACUGCUGGCAGCACGCCGUGGAGCCUGGCCGGCUCCCGCGUAGCCGCCGCCUUCUGGCGCUCGAGGCGGUGACCGUGGCGCCGGCGCGCAAUGGCCGGGCCAGCGAGGCCUAGCUGCAGCUGCUGUGCCGCACUGACGCCAGCCCGCUCUGCGCCGCCUGCCGCCUGGCUGCGGGCCUCGAGCCACCCGAGUGGGAGCCGCGCUGGAGGAAGGUGCUGUGCGGCAAGGAGAACAAGGAGUCUGUGGAAAUCAUGAGAAAGAACUUGAAUGACGCCCGGGACCUGCAUGACCAGGCGGAGUCAGCCGCUGCAGUGUGGAAGGGACACGUGAUGGACCAUAGGAAGAAGGACUGACCAACUACAAGAAGCUGCGGGCCUUCUUUGUGGAGGAGGAGGAGCACUUCCUGCAGGAGGCUAAGAAGGAGGAGGGGCUCCUCAGGGAGGGGCUUCUCGCUCAGAUCACUGCUGAGACAAAGCACCGGAACCUGGGCCUCAGCAUGCUGCUGCAGUGAUGGCGCCAACCCGCGGCAGUCCCAGAGCUGGAGGCAGGAGGAUGGAUCCUCAUCUCCCUGGGAAGUGUCAGCGUGUGGCUGUCAGGGAAGUGUGGAAGGCGCCCAGCCUUGGGUCCAUUUAUAUAGUUGUGUGUUUCAACAAUGUCUCUAUCCUUUACUCUGAGGUGUGAGUGUUUUGGGGGCUGCAAACACCUCCUGGUAGAGGCUGGACCUGAGGAUCCUUCUGACCUGUGCCUGACCCUUCCUGAAGUCCUGGCCACAGCCCAUCCUCCAUGAGUCCCGGCAGCUCUGGGCCAUGCCCUUCCUUGGUCACCCAUCUGCCCCUCACCUUGUCAUCCAGGGACCCAGACCCUGCACCUUCCAUGCGGGCCCACAGAUCCUUGGCAGGUACCUGAGGUGCACCGUUGAGUGUCAAAUUUGGGGUUAGCAUCCAGAAAGAAGAACGCACAUGAGGCUCUGUGAAGGCUGGAACUCAGGGCUUCAGGGAAGAGAAAGGAAGACGAUUGCACCUUGAUGCCUC